CGUAUCACUUAAAGCGAUUCAGCGGGUUACGAUUGACGGAGCGAAGCGACGUCAAAGCGUAUACAAAGUCGAGUCGGUUUAAGGAUACGUUCGUUGGGUAGGGGAGCGUUCUGUAAGCCUGUGAAGGUGGCCUGUGAGGGUUGCUGGAGGUAUCAGAAGUGCGAAUGCUGACAUAAGUAACGAUAAAGCGGGUGAAAAGCCCGCUCGCCGGAAGACCAAGGGUUCCUGUCCAACGUUAAUCGGGGCAGGGUGAGUCGACCCCUAAGGCGAGGCCGAAAGGCGUAGUCGAUGGGAAACGGGUUAAUAUUCCCGUACUUGGUGUUACUGCGAAGGGGGGACGGAGAAGGCUAUGUUGGCCGGGCGACGGUUGUCCCGGUUUAAGCGUGUAGGUGUGUGUUCCAGGUAAAUCCGGUUCACUUUAACACUGAGGCGUGAUGACGAGGCACUACGGUGCUGAAGCAACAAAUGCCCUGCUUCCAGGAAAAGCCUCUAAGCAUCAGGUAACAUCAAAUCGUACCCCAAACCGACACAGGUGGUCAGGUAGAGAAUACCAAGGCGCUUGAGAGAACUCGGGUGAAGGAACUAGGCAAAAUGGUGCCGUAACUUCGGGAGAAGGCACGCUGACACGUAGGUGAAGUGAUUUACUCAUGGAGCUGAAGUCAGUCGAAGAUACCAGCUGGCUGCAACUGUUUAUUAAAAACACAGCACUGUGCAAACACGAAAGUGGACGUAUACGGUGUGACGCCUGCCCGGUGCCGGAAGGUUAAUUGAUGGGGUCAGCGCAAGCGAAGCUCCUGAUCGAAGCCCCGGUAAACGGCGGCCGUAACUAUAACGGUCCUAAGGUAGCGAAAUUCCUUGUCGGGUAAGUUCCGACCUGCACGAAUGGCGUAAUGAUGGCCAGGCUGUCUCCACCCGAGACUCAGUGAAAUUGAACUCGCUGUGAAGAUGCAGUGUACCCGCGGCAAGACGGAAAGACCCCGUGAACCUUUACUAUAGCUUGACACUGAACAUUGAGCCUUGAUGUGUAGGAUAGGUGGGAGGCUUUGAAGUGUGGACGCCAGUCUGCAUGGAGCCGACCUUGAAAUACCACCCUUUAAUGUUUGAUGUUCUAACGUGGACCCGUAAUCCGGGUUGCGGACAGUGUCUGGUGGGUAGUUUGACUGGGGCGGUCUCCUCCUAAAGAGUAACGGAGGAGCACGAAGGUUGGCUAAUCCUGGUCGGACAUCAGGAGGUUAGUGCAAUGGCAUAAGCCAGCUUGACUGCGAGCGUGACGGCGCGAGCAGGUGCGAAAGCAGGUCAUAGUGAUCCGGUGGUUCUGAAUGGAAGGGCCAUCGCUCAACGGAUAAAAGGUACUCCGGGGAUAACAGGCUGAUACCGCCCAAGAGUUCAUAUCGACGGCGGUGUUUGGCACCUCGAUGUCGGCUCAUCACAUCCUGGGGCUGAAGUAGGUCCCAAGGGUAUGGCUGUUCGCCAUUUAAAGUGGUACGCGAGCUGGGUUUAGAACGUCGUGAGACAGUUCGGUCCCUAUCUGCCGUGGGCGCUGGAGAACUGAGGGGGGCUGCUCCUAGUACGAGAGGACCGGAGUGGACGCAUCACUGGUGUUCGGGUUGUCAUGCCAAUGGCACUGCCCGGUAGCUAAAUGCGGAAGAGAUAAGUGCUGAAAGCAUCUAAGCACGAAACUUGCCCCGA
Molecule: ribosomal RNA, 1689 nt
Filed under: Salmonella enterica subsp. enterica serovar Derby
Lineage: Bacteria; Pseudomonadati; Pseudomonadota; Gammaproteobacteria; Enterobacterales; Enterobacteriaceae
Also listed under: 3 other names
Description: partial 23S ribosomal RNA
Rfam family: Bacterial large subunit ribosomal RNA
Source: RNAcentral